CAGCCGCCGCGGUAAAACGGAGGGGGCUAGCGUUGUUCGGAAUUACUGGGCGUAAAGCGCACGCAGGCGGCUAUUCAAGUCAGAGGUGAAAGCCCGGGGCUCAACCCCGGAACAGCCUUUGAAACUAGAUAGCUUGAAUCAUGGAGAGGUCAGUGGAAUUCCGAGUGUAGAGGUGAAAUUCGUAGAUAUUCGGAAGAACACCAGUGGCGAAGGCGGCUGACUGGACAUGUAUUGACGCUGAGGUGCGAAAGCGUGGGGAGCAAACAGGAUUAGAUACCCCCGUAGUCCCUGUCUCUUAUAC
This 301-nucleotide ribosomal RNA is filed under the name uncultured bacterium. RNAcentral describes it as "partial 16S ribosomal RNA". It matches the Rfam family "Bacterial small subunit ribosomal RNA", at positions 509 to 807 of the family's 1533-position model. The record is from RNAcentral.